Molecule: long non-coding RNA, 203 nt
Filed under: Carica papaya (papaya)
Lineage: Eukaryota; Viridiplantae; Streptophyta; Magnoliopsida; Brassicales; Caricaceae
Description: long non-coding RNA (CPAP_LNC001109)
Source: RNAcentral
CCUCGGACCCAUCCCUUACACAAUAAUGCUUAGAGAAAUAUUCACCGAUAAAUCGUUACUCAACCAUUCCUUAUGAAAUGCAGGUGCAGAGAGAUGAGGAGAGGAAGACCCCCACUAAACCUAGCGGCCUGGGAUAAUUCACUUCGGGAGGAUGUAGACAGGUUAUUUGAGAUGAUGGAAGGAUUCAUAGCUGCCCAGCAAGG